CUACGGGAGGCAGCAGUGGGGAAUAUUGGACAAUGGGCGAAAGCCUGAUGCAGCCAUGCCGCGUGUGUGAAGAAGGUCUUAGGAUUGUAAAGCACUUUAAGUUGGGAGGAAGGGCAGUAAGCUAAUACCUUGCUGUUUUGACGUUACCAACAGAAUAAGCACCGGCUAACUUCGUGCCAGCAGCCGCGGUAAUACGAAGGGUGCAAGCGUUAUUCGGAAUUACUGGGCGUAAAGCGCGCGUAGGUGGUUCGUUAAGUUGGAUGUGAAAGCCCCGGGCUCAACCUGGGAAUUGCAUCCAAAACUGUCUGACUAGAGUAUGGCAGAGGGUGGUGGAAUUUCAUGUGUAGCGGUGAAAUGCGUAGAUAUAGGAAGGAACACCAGUGGCGAAGGCGACCACCUGGGCUAAUACUGACACCUGAAGGUGCGAAAGCUUGGGGAGCAAACAGGAUUAGAUACCCUGGUAGUCC
RNAcentral lists this ribosomal RNA (467 nucleotides) under Stutzerimonas stutzeri. Its description in RNAcentral is "bacterial SSU rRNA". It matches the Rfam family "Bacterial small subunit ribosomal RNA", at positions 339 to 796 of the family's 1533-position model. The record is from RNAcentral. Lineage: Bacteria; Pseudomonadati; Pseudomonadota; Gammaproteobacteria; Pseudomonadales; Pseudomonadaceae.